Molecule: ribosomal RNA, 845 nt
Filed under: Micromonospora sp. R10-30
Lineage: Bacteria; Bacillati; Actinomycetota; Actinomycetes; Micromonosporales; Micromonosporaceae
Description: bacterial SSU rRNA
Rfam family: Bacterial small subunit ribosomal RNA
Source: RNAcentral
UGCAAGUCGAGCGGAAAGGCCCUUCGGGGUACUCGAGCGGCGAACGGGUGAGUAACACGUGAGCAACCUGCCCCAGGCUUUGGGAUAACCCCGGGAAACCGGGGCUAAUACCGAAUAUGACCUCCGAUCGCAUGGUUGGUGGUGGAAAGUUUUUCGGCUUGGGAUGGGCUCGCGGCCUAUCAGCUUGUUGGUGGGGUGAUGGCCUACCAAGGCGACGACGGGUAGCCGGCCUGAGAGGGCGACCGGCCACACUGGGACUGAGACACGGCCCAGACUCCUACGGGAGGCAGCAGUGGGGAAUAUUGCACAAUGGGCGGAAGCCUGAUGCAGCGACGCCGCGUGAGGGAUGACGGCCUUCGGGUUGUAAACCUCUUUCAGCAGGGACGAAGCGUAAGUGACGGUACCUGCAGAAGAAGCGCCGGCCAACUACGUGCCAGCAGCCGCGGUAAGACGUAGGGCGCGAGCGUUGUCCGGAUUUAUUGGGCGUAAAGAGCUCGUAGGCGGCUUGUCGCGUCGACUGUGAAAACCCGCAGCUCAACUGCGGGCCUGCAGUCGAUACGGGCAGGCUAGAGUUCGGUAGGGGAGACUGGAAUUCCUGGUGUAGCGGUGAAAUGCGCAGAUAUCAGGAGGAACACCGGUGGCGAAGGCGGGUCUCUGGGCCGAUACUGACGCUGAGGAGCGAAAGCGUGGGGAGCGAACAGGAUUAGAUACCCUGGUAGUCCACGCUGUAAACGUUGGGCGCUAGGUGUGGGGGGCCUCUCCGGUUCCCUGUGCCGCAGCUAACGCAUUAAGCGCCCCGCCUGGGGAGUACGGCCGCAAGGCUAAAACUCAAAGGAAUUGACGGG